Molecule: ribosomal RNA, 426 nt
Filed under: Fusarium oxysporum f. sp. phaseoli
Lineage: Eukaryota; Fungi; Ascomycota; Sordariomycetes; Hypocreales; Nectriaceae
Description: eukaryotic LSU rRNA
Rfam family: 5.8S ribosomal RNA (bases 60-213)
Source: RNAcentral
GAGGACCCCUAAACUCUGUUUCUAUAUGUAACUUCUGAGUAAAACCAUAAAUAAAUCAAAACUUUCAACAACGGAUCUCUUGGUUCUGGCAUCGAUGAAGAACGCAGCAAAAUGCGAUAAGUAAUGUGAAUUGCAGAAUUCAGUGAAUCAUCGAAUCUUUGAACGCACAUUGCGCCCGCCAGUAUUCUGGCGGGCAUGCCUGUUCGAGCGUCAUUUCAACCCUCAAGCACAGCUUGGUGUUGGGACUCGCGUUAAUUCGCGUUCCUCAAAUUGAUUGGCGGUCACGUCGAGCUUCCAUAGCGUAGUAGUAAAACCCUCGUUACUGGUAAUCGUCGCGGCCACGCCGUUAAACCCCAACUUCUGAAUGUUGACCUCGGAUCAGGUAGGAAUACCCGCUGAACUUAAGCAUAUCAAUAAGCGGAGGAA